UCGGCACCUGAAGCCAUGACAGUUGCCAUGUCAACAUAUAUGAUAAAUUGUACGAAGCAUCGCGUCGGCUGCUUCAAAUGAUGUGUUAUGGAAAUUCGACGUCUCAAGAAAAGGCGACGGCUUCUAUAUAGGAGGAGGCUGCUUCAACUGUGGAGGAGGCGGCUUCAACUGUGGAGGAGCCGACUUCGACUGUGGAGGGAGACGGCAGCUUUAUAUAGAAGAAGACGGCGACUUCAACUAUAGAGGACGCGGUUGCCUCAGUUAUGAGAAGGAGACGGCUUCUACUAUUGAGGAGGCUAUGAGGAAACGGCAGCUUUAAUAUUGGAGACGAUGGCAUCAACAUAGAGGAGACGGCCGCCUCAGCUAUCAGGAUGCUGCUUUAACAAUUGGGCAGACGGUGGCUUGAGAAAAGGAGUAGUUUGGCGGCCUGAGUUAAAGGAGGCGUAACGGCUUUAAUUUUGGAGGAGGUGGAAUCAAUUUCAAAUGUGGCCAUUGAGAAAACUGUGAUGUGUUAAUAUAAAGGUUCGAUUCCCGCCAACUGAUUGAUGACGAUAAAAACAAGCAUGCGUGUGAAUUUACAGGCACAUCGGACGUGUCCUCGAGGAGCACAAAUAAAUUAUGGCUGAAACAAAAGACUUGGCACAUGUGACACACCUCGGAGGAAGAUAUUUUAUGUAUCAUAUAAAACUAUGACGAUACCAUUAACAGGAUCAAUAGGAUCACCAGGAUGCACUAAUUUAAAUUAAACAUAAUUAAAUGGGUUAAUAACUAAGCAUUAGCUUAAGCUUUUGCUUAAUAGCGACAACGAAAGUAUGCAUUUCUGUUCCCCUGUUAUUUCAGCUGCAAUUCUUAUUCAAAUCUGAUCCAGCUAGCGGCGAGACCAACAACAACCGUUAAUAUUU
RNAcentral lists this small RNA (902 nucleotides) under Drosophila virilis. RNAcentral's name for it is "GJ26748". Lineage: Eukaryota; Metazoa; Arthropoda; Insecta; Diptera; Drosophilidae. The record is from RNAcentral.